UAAGGGAAUCUUCGGCAAUGGACGGAAGUCUGACCGAGCAACGCCGCGUGAGUGAAGAAGGUUUUCGGAUCGUAAAGCUCUGUUGUAAGAGAAGAACGAGUGUGAGAGUGGAAAGUUCACACUGUGACGGUAUCUUACCAGAAAGGGACGGCUAACUACGUGCCAGCAGCCGCGGUAAUACGUAGGUCCCGAGCGUUGUCCGGAUUUAUUGGGCGUAAAGCGAGCGCAGGCGGUUAGAUAAGUCUGAAGUUAAAGGCUGUGGCUUAACCAUAGUACGCUUUGGAAACUGUUUAACUUGAGUGCAAGAGGGGAGAGUGGAAUUCCAUGUGUAGCGGUGAAAUGCGUAGAUAUAUGGAGGAACACCGGUGGCGAAAGCGGCUCUCUGGCUUGUAACUGACGCUGAGGCUCGAAAGCGUGGGGAGCAAACAGGAUUAGAUACCCUGGUAGUCCACGCCGUAAACGAUGAGUGCUAGGUGUUAGACCCUUUCCGGGGUUUAGUGCCGUAGCUAACGCAUUAAGCACUCCGCCUGGGGAGUACGACCGCAAGGUUG
Molecule: ribosomal RNA, 551 nt
Filed under: uncultured bacterium
Lineage: Bacteria
Description: bacterial SSU rRNA
Rfam family: Bacterial small subunit ribosomal RNA
Source: RNAcentral